This 499-nucleotide long non-coding RNA is filed under the name Homo sapiens (human). RNAcentral's name for it is "HSALNT0146826". Lineage: Eukaryota; Metazoa; Chordata; Mammalia; Primates; Hominidae. The record is from RNAcentral.
AUUCCCCCUCCCCAUUCUCCUUCUCUCUUUCUUUCGCAUCACAAGGCUACUUCCUCAAGGGUGCUGGGGAUACCGUUUUCCUGUUUCAUUUCAAGAGCAACACCACCAUUGCUUGAACUGGUGUGCAGAGCCCUCCUCCGUGUCGUCGCCACAGCAACCCGGGGCUCUAAUCUGCUGAAUAUGAAUAGAAGAAACAGAAAGAGAAAAGCCAUCCACCCCCUUCUGCUCCAUCCAUGAGUCCAAAAGAGGGAUACCGUCUCCAAGCAUUCCUGAUAGUCCCCCAGCCAUCGCCCAGGCAACAGUCACAGGGAACUGGCACGGCCUGCGGUGAGAAAGCAGUCCCUGUCUCAAGAUCAGACCUCCUCCUCCUCUGUCUCCUCCUCCUCCUCCUCCGCUCCUCCCACCCUGGGUCCCCUAUAGGCCCCUACAAACCUCCAUCCCACUUCUGGUCUCCUUGCCCCACACCCUCCAGCCAGUGGGUCAUUAAAUCACAGACAAG